AGGACGAACGCUGGCGGCGUGCUUAACACAUGCAAGUCACGGGGGCCCGCAAGGGCAACCGGCGAACGGGUGCGUAACACGUGAGCAACCUGCCGAUCUGUGGGGGAUAGCCGGGCUAACGCCCGGGUAAUACCGCAUACGGUUGCCGAGGGGAGUCCCUUGGCAAAGAAACCUCCGGGGCAGAUCGAGGGGCUCGCGGCCUAUCAGCUAGUUGGGGGGGUAAUGGCCCACCAAGGCGACGACGGGUAGCUGGU
Molecule: ribosomal RNA, 254 nt
Filed under: uncultured bacterium
Lineage: Bacteria
Description: partial small subunit ribosomal RNA
Rfam family: Bacterial small subunit ribosomal RNA
Source: RNAcentral